GCCCGGGGGGGGGACACCCGGGGGACACGGACACUGGUGGGUGGUUGGGUGUAAUUAGCGCGGGCCGCGCGCAAUGGAGCAAGCGAGGGGGAAAGGGGAAGAGGAGAGCGAGCGGGGGAGGGGGAGUUAAAAAAAAAAAAGGGGGGGGAGAUUUUAAGGAGAGGAAACGGGCCGCGGAGACGGGCUGACUGUCCGUCUGUCUGCCUGCCCGCGGUGCCCCGGCUGCCUGGCCCCCGCCGCAGUCAGAAAUUCACACAAAAUGGCGGCGCGGCCCGGACGGGCUGGGAGGCUGAGGCGGGAGGAAGGGCGAGGUGGGAGGGGAACUGAGAGGUGGAGGCCGCGUCACGUGGCGGAGAGGGUACGGGCCACUCGCUCGAAGGGCGGCGGAAAGAGCCGAACGGAGAGAGUGAGGCCGACGGAAGGCGGGAAAAGCCGAGAGUUGCAGAGCCGGAGACGGGGAAGAGGCGGAAAGAGCCGAAGACGGCGGUGGGGGCGGGGGCUAGAAGGAAAGUGGGCGGGGCCCCCAGAGCCGGAAAAAGCCGAAGCGGAUCGGGACCGAAAACAACACGGAACUGUGGUGAUCCGGAAAGAUCCGAAGGUAGCGUCGGUGUGGGUGGCAGGAGGCGGAAACAGCCGAAAGAGGCCGCGCGCGGGUAAUGGGAUUUAGAAGGAAGGAGCUGAAGGGCGGGCUAGGGAGGCGAUUAAUGAAGAGGAAACGAUUUUGAGGAAUUCGCCCAAGAGCAAGCGGGAAGAACCGAAAAUUACUAGCUUGAAGGAAGGCGAGAAGAGUCGAAAGUUUUAGAGUUGUUUUCUGCUGGACAAAACUCAUCUGUAACUUGAGAAUCUUCCAUAACUUUCCCAAGUCUAUACCCUCAUCAACAAUUACAUAGUAACACACAAAGUAACAUCUGGAAUAACAGAAGGUCUUGGUAGACAGCGCUCUACUGUGGAGAAACCUCACCUGCUGAGAUUUGCUGGUCUUUUUAUUUUCCUCAUAACCUAAAACUGGAUGGCCCUCUAGGAUUGUGGAAUGGCCUGUAGAAGCUUCAGAGAUGGCGCCAGAUGAACACUAUGCCUCAAAAAGACAGAGUACUGUCCUCCUAGAUAUGGUCUGUGUUCUCAAGCAGUGUUGUUUCGUCUGUAAUGAGAAUGCGUGGGGUUCAGAAAUCAAGGCAUAGAAUGACACCCUGCACAAUUACACAUAAUGACCCUGCUCUACUGGCUCUUGAUAUGUUAAAAAACAAACAAACAAAAAACCUUCAUUGGACAAUUUAGUUAUCAGCAGGUGCCAACAUUUUAUUAUAAGCAUGCAUGCAAAGAAAAAAAAGUCGCUUGUAGGCCAAUUAAAAGAUUUGCUCUUGGUCGGGACAUUCUUUAUGACAGGAAAACAUUUCUGAGCUGUGCAACAUUGAAUUAAACAUGUCAGAGGUUGGAAGGAGGAGAUAAGAGAGGUUAAUCAGUUAACAUCUGCAGAGCAAAACGACAAAAGACCUCUUAGAUUCUUGAAUGUACAAACGUAUGUUAAAACUAUGAAUUAAUGUCCAGGUGGCUAUUUCUGAGAUUAUCCAGAGAGAGAAUAGCCGAGACAGCUGGUGUCUGCCAGUUGGAGAAUUGCUUGGUGUCCGAGUAGAGUGACCAGAGCAGAGGAUAAAAACAGGAGUUCCCUUAGAAUCACUGAAAAAUCACCUGGCCAUACGAACUACAGCUGAAUAUAUGCCUACGCUGAUUCCACAAUUUCAUUCAAAAGUAUUUAUCCAAUAGAAAUGAAUACCAAAAGGUAUAAACAAGAAUGUUCACAGCAGCACUGUGAAAUAGGUCCUCACUGGGAACUACCUAAAUGCUCAUAAGUAGGCGAACAGACAAGUAAAUUGUAGCAUGUUCAUCGCUUUUGAGAAUCCCUGGAUCGCUGGGUUAGAAGACCCAAAUGGCAGAGUCCUUUGCACUACAUCUUGGACCAGCUAGGAGACCUCCUCUUGCAUGGGGCCCCAGCAGCCUUAGAGCUUUCUCUGCUGAUGAAUGAAAGCAAGUCUCCCAACCAUCAUACAAAUUGCCGCCAAAAUUCCAAGAGGGCCACCAAGCAUUGUGUUGUUGUUAUUGUUUUAAGUGUGUUGGUGGAAGGAGAGGUUAAAGUGCAAGUUUCAGCAACUUGCCCUUUAUUUUGGGAAAAAAAAUUUCAAACAUACCUCUUCCUCUGGAUCCCAAAAACGUUUUUGAGCUGGCAGAUCCCUGUAUUUUUCUGAGGUGGAACCUUCUGUAAUGCCGACAAGUCAGAUCAAUGCUUCCAUGGUACCUGUUUCUUUCUAUUCUUGGAGCAUCAUUAUUCUAGCAAAGAAUUUUAUUUUUCUAGUUCCUGGGGUGGCUCUAGGGUGGGUUCUUUAUGCCGUGGAUGAGCAGUCCUUUACAGAGAAGACACUCAACAGAGUGUGGAAGAAACCCCAACAGCUGGCUCCAACCUCUGGAAUCCUCUCCCCGACCCCCUGGGGAAGAAAGGAGGCCAUUGGCAAAAGAGAGGCAUUAUGAUGUGUUGGAUCCUGCUGAUUGCCAACCCAAUAACUAUUUCCCCUUUCUUCCUCACAAAUCCAACCCUGGAUUUAUUGGGGAGAUGGGGAUAAUGAAGUCCUGAUUGAUUGAUUCGUCUACCUGGUUCUCGAGAGAUGAUGUCGCCCCCUAGAGGACAUUUUGGAAGUCAUUGAGGGAAAUUAAAUUUAGUCGUCAACUGGUUCUCAAGGGGACAGUAUUGCUCCCUAGGGGGCGUUUUGGAAAUUUGAGGGGAGUUUUACCAGCAUCAUGAUAAUGAGCAGGUUGUUACUGGCACAGGAGAACAGAGACCGGGGAUGUCAAAAUGUCCUGCAACAUGACAUUGGUAUUGAAUGAUCACUUCAUGAACUAAGUUAACGAUAAUUCUUAAAUAGUCGAAAGCCCUGUUUAUACUGUUAUAUUAAGCUGCAAUGCCAGACUUUUCCAGUUCUUUUGGAACUGUGUGCAUAGCAAAGUCAUGGUAGACUCGGGUAUACCACCACAUCUGUGUAAUGAAAAUGUUUUGGAACUAGAAAUGGUGGUUAUACAGCAUGGUGAGUGUGCUAAAUGCCACUGAACUGUUCACUUCACAAAAUGGUUUAUGUUAUGUUAUGCGAAUUUCAUCUCAAUAAAAAAGUUUAAAAACGU
This is a long non-coding RNA of Pteropus alecto (black flying fox), 3165 nucleotides long. RefSeq lists it as uncharacterized. Lineage: Eukaryota; Metazoa; Chordata; Mammalia; Chiroptera; Pteropodidae. The record is from RefSeq and is a predicted model, not a curated record. The transcript has 2 exons.